AUACGUAGGUGACAAGCGUUAUCCGGAUUUACUGGGCGUAAAGGGCGUGUAGGCGGUCUUGCAAGUCAGAAGUGAAAUUCCUGAGCUCAACUCGGGCGCUGCUUCUGAAACUGCAGGACUUGAGUGCUGGAGGGGAUAGCGGAAUUCCUAGUGGAGCGGUAAAAUGCGCAGAUAUCAGGAAGAAUACCAGUGGCGAAGGCGGUUUGCUGGCUGCAUACUGACGCUGAAGCGCGAAAGCCAGGGGAGCAAACGGGAUUAGAUACCCCGGUAGUCCUGGCAGUAAACGAUGUAUGCUGGGUGUGAGACUAGCGAUAGUUUCGUGCCGAAGUUAACGCGAUGAGCAUACCGCCUGGGGAGUACGGUCGCAAGUAUGAAACUCAAAUGAAUUGGCGGGG
RNAcentral lists this ribosomal RNA (395 nucleotides) under uncultured bacterium. RNAcentral describes it as "partial 16S ribosomal RNA". It matches the Rfam family "Bacterial small subunit ribosomal RNA", at positions 523 to 918 of the family's 1533-position model. The record is from RNAcentral.